GUGUGUGUUUGCGUGUUUGCGCAGGGCCGAACGGACUUUGAAGAGCCCCUCAGGAUAGAGGAAGACUCACACUGGCAGACAGAGCAGACGUCAAAGGUCUCAGGGGGCACAGAACUCCAUAUUGACAUGAUUAACCAGCUACAGGAGGCGGUGGAGCUGCUGCAGAACCCCARCAGAGUGAGCGCAGAGCAGGAUGAUCUGUCUGAAGUCCAGCUGUACCCGGUGGAGAUGGUCACCGUGGAGGAGUCGUUCAACGGACAAGACAGCGAUGAGGGAAGCACAACACCAAAGGUACAGUUUGCCAAAAC
Poecilia reticulata (guppy) is the source of this 308-nucleotide non-coding RNA. The record is from RefSeq and is a predicted model, not a curated record. Lineage: Eukaryota; Metazoa; Chordata; Actinopteri; Cyprinodontiformes; Poeciliidae.